This 213-nucleotide unclassified non-coding RNA is filed under the name plant metagenome. RNAcentral describes it as "partial contains small subunit ribosomal RNA, internal transcribed spacer 1, and 5.8S ribosomal RNA". The record is from RNAcentral.
UCUCCGUAGGUGAACCUGCGGAGGGAUCACUACAGGCUUGCAAAAGCUCUGAAACCACUGUUUAUCUACCUGAAUCUGCUUCGGCGGGCGGCCCCAGGGCGGGGCCGUAGCCGCAAGGCGCCCGCCGAAGACCCCUAAACUCUGUCGUCUUGAGAAUCUCUGAGUAUCAUAUUAAACAGAAAACGACUUUCAACAACGGAUCUCUUGGCUCUG